GCCUACGGGGGGCAGCAGUAGGGAAUCUUCCACAAUGGACGAAAGUCUGAUGGAGCAACGCCGCGUGAGUGAAGAAGGGUUUCGGCUCGUAAAGCUCUGUUGGUAGGGAAGAAAGAUAGAGGUAGUAACUGGCCUUUAUUUGACGGUAAUUACUUAGAAAGUCACGGCUAACUACGUGCCAGCAGCCGCGGGAGGACGGAGGUGGCAAGCGUUGUCCGGAUUUAUUGGGCGUAAAGCGAGGGCAGGCGGGGCAAUAAAGCUGAUGUGAAAGGCUUCGGGGCA
This 282-nucleotide ribosomal RNA is filed under the name uncultured bacterium. RNAcentral's name for it is "partial 16S ribosomal RNA". It matches the Rfam family "Bacterial small subunit ribosomal RNA", at positions 337 to 611 of the family's 1533-position model. The record is from RNAcentral.